Streptomyces sp. Tu 6176 is the source of this 95-nucleotide non-coding RNA. NCBI's taxonomy places the organism in Bacteria, Bacillati, Actinomycetota, Actinomycetes, Kitasatosporales, Streptomycetaceae. The record is from Rfam.
UGACCCCGUGCGGGAGAGUCCUCCAGCAACACCGGAGGCGCCGAAGGAGCAAAUCCUCCCCGGAAUCUCUCAGGCCCACGUACCGCACGGACGAG